This is a long non-coding RNA of Rosa chinensis, 702 nucleotides long. RefSeq lists it as uncharacterized. Lineage: Eukaryota; Viridiplantae; Streptophyta; Magnoliopsida; Rosales; Rosaceae. The record is from RefSeq and is a predicted model, not a curated record. The transcript has 3 exons.
UGGUAUGUUGUUCUUAAUGGUUUCUUACUGUUUAUUGGUGGUUUAGGAUGGAAGAGGUUGAAAACCAUUUUAGUCUUAUUUUCCUUUACAGGUAUAAGAAAGUUGGGUACUUGGAUACUGAUGUUGGGCAACUUGAGUUUAGUCCUCCUGGGUUUCCAUCUCUCCCUGUGCUACAUGAAGUCACUCCAGACAAUUGUUUGGUUUCUGCAAAUUUUUUUUUUUUUGGUGUGGUUGCUUCAUAGAACAUUAAGCUUUUUGUUGUUUAUGCUUCAAUCUGAUAAUAUUUAUUAAUUCAGGAGUUUUGGUUGGAGUUUUAACUUUUUGGUGGCCAACUGGUCAUAGAGUGCUGAUCAACAUGGUUAAGCCUUUCACAAAGGAUGAUAUGUGCCAUUGUUUUGGUUGCCUGUUUCUCAUGAGAAAACUGUCUCACAAGAUCUGGAGUUGGAAUUGUUUUUGCGGGCAUGUCUCUAUGAACUGAACCUUUCAAGGCAAUGCUUAUGUGGAAGCUGAAAGUAUUGGCAAUGGUAUUGGUGUUGUGAAGCUAAUGGGACACUACAGUGCAAGUUCAUAAUAGGAAGUUGCGAUACAAAGCUCCUAGAACUGUUGGAUUGUAAAGAUUGCUCAACUCUUGGGCAUUGUAUGCUUAUGUAAGGUAACUUUUUUUCCUUCUCCAACUAUGUAUGAACUAUCAAAAGUUAUACG